UCUGAGCUCUUCGUUCAAAAUUCCUGCAGAUGGGCCCGUGGAUGGCGCCUGUGCCUGAUUCACGUAGUACAAGCAUAGCAACAAAGUGAGAAGGACCGCGCAGACGACGAAAACGCGGCUUGAACCGCGUCGAAGGAUCUUGUACAUGGUACGAAAGUUGGAUUCGCUUCGGGGCAGGCGUUCCUCGAUUUCGAUUCACCUGGUGCCGCGAUAUUGGCUCGAUCCCGUGUCGGUUAUGCUCGACAAUCGCUCCCCGACUUUGCCGCUGUCGCCUGUCGACUUCAUGAGAUACUUUGGCGCCGACACGAUCUGAAAGAAGAAAAGUUAAACGAAAUUAAUAGAUUUUGGAUGUAAAAAAUAGACGAUUUAUCGGAUACGGUCGUUCCGAUAUAUUAUUACGAGGAAUAUCGAGAUUCGAAAAGCGAGAUCGAAUAGUAUCGAAUAAAAGAAGAGGACGAGAGGCACGAUAUUAAAAAGAGUAAAUCGUUCAAAUAACCAGAAUCAUUAGAAAAGUUCGAAGGAUGAAAAUUAUUGGGGAUUGAGAAGGAUUGGAGAAGUCGUAAAAAUUUUAAGAACACGUGUAUCUAAAUUGAAAUGAGCGAGAAGAAAUGAGGACGAGGAAGGAACGAUCCAAUUCCGAUGAGAACAAUAAAUACGACCUGGUGAACCAGAGACACGGUUUCCCAGAAACCUUCUGUCUCUCGACGUAAGGUCGGUUCGCACGCGAUAAUCGAUCGUACCUGUCACCACCGACCCUGGCUGAAGAACGAGCCGCGAUUUACACAUUGAAAACUCGAAUAUCGAUUUACUUUUCGUUUGAAUUAUAUUGAAAUUACAAUCGUUAGAAGAUAAUGACGAUAAAUAAAUUCGCGAUCCAAUUUCUUCUCAUAUUUAUGUACAUCUAUUUUCUUUAUAAAUCUAAUAAUUAUUUAACAACAAACGAAUACAAUAUGUAUUAAAAAAUAAUCAGACUCUGUAUUAAAUUGAUGAUAAUUUUGUACGUUUCUUUUAAUUCCAAUAAUUUGUUUAUAUAUUUACACAUACAUCAUUUUUAAAUAAUUUUUUCGUAAAUCUAAUAUUUUUAAUAAUAUCGUCAAUAUUAUCUUCCAUUGUAAUUUCAAUCCAACUCGAAAUUAAUACAAAUCCAGGAAGCCAAACGUUUUUAUUAAAACUCAAAUUUAAUCCAAGGAUUUGAAUAAACGUAACCAAAUAUUUUUCUUAAA
Long non-coding RNA from Apis dorsata (giant honeybee), 1223 nucleotides. RefSeq lists it as uncharacterized. NCBI's taxonomy places the organism in Eukaryota, Metazoa, Arthropoda, Insecta, Hymenoptera, Apidae. The record is from RefSeq and is a predicted model, not a curated record. The transcript has 3 exons.